Alnus glutinosa is the source of this 448-nucleotide long non-coding RNA. RefSeq lists it as uncharacterized. The record is from RefSeq and is a predicted model, not a curated record. NCBI's taxonomy places the organism in Eukaryota, Viridiplantae, Streptophyta, Magnoliopsida, Fagales, Betulaceae. The transcript has 3 exons.
CAUGUCACAAUAUCAUGGAUAAUGCUUCAAUUCCUCUGAGAAGUACUUGAAGAAAGAUAUCGUUGAUUUGCUUGCGAAUGGACUCGAUAUCAAUGCUUAUGGACGGGUGAUAUUAUUGCUUUAUUGCUGACACUGGGUGCCUAAGUUGAAUCUCUAAAAUUGUCCAAGUGAGCGUAUGGAUUCUAGGCAACUCGCAAGCUUGCUUAUAUCUCUUUGGUAAUCCAUGGUGGCAUAAUCAAGGUUCAGAACCAGCUUCAUUGCAGCUUUUGAAGGAGGAGAAAACUGAAAACAUGAAGUAAAAGGCCUGCAUCGUCAUUCAUUUUAUUCAGUAUCAUGCUUACUUAUUGAUGCAACAAGGAUGCAAGGAAGAGUUUGUUGAAGGAGAGAAAAGGACCUGGUUGUGACUGUGAUGUCUGCAAUGGGAGAGGAUCGGAUUUGUGCUAUGAAG